Molecule: small RNA, 28 nt
Filed under: Bombyx mori (domestic silkworm)
Lineage: Eukaryota; Metazoa; Arthropoda; Insecta; Lepidoptera; Bombycidae
Description: ovarian small RNA-17827
Source: RNAcentral
GUGAAUCUCGUGAAGCUCGUAGUGCCAC